UACGAUGAUGGAAAGAAGAAGAGAAAGCGGGGAACCACAAGGGAAGGGUGCAUGGCCAUGAUCGAGGUCAUCCGUAAAGAUCACGGUAAGUGGUUGGUCACUAAGCUGGAGACCGAGCAUACUCAUAUGGUUGCUUUGCCUGAUAAAGUCCGGCCACGUGCUGAUAGAUCUAUGAUCUCACCAAACUCAGCUCUAAAUUCUAGUGAGCCGAACGGGUUCAAUAAUUUGAAGAACUUCAACAGGGGGAUUAGGAUCAAUCCUUUUGGGGAAGGAGGUGAGGCUCAGGGUCUUCUGGAGUAUUUGAAGAGGAUGCAAGCUGAGAAUCCUGCAUUUUUCUAUGCCAUCCAAGUGGAUAAUAAUAAUGGCGUAACCAAUGUUUUCUGGGCUGAUGCCAAAUCCAGGAUGUCAUACCAAUACUUUGGUGAUGCUUUGACUUUUGAUACUACUUACAAAAAAACAAAAUACAUGAUGCCUUUCGCUACCUUCAGAGGAAUAAAUCAUCAUUUGCAGUUUGUAACAUUUGGCUGUGCCUUGCUAAUGGAUGAAACUAAGGGUUCUUAUGUUUGGCUUUUUGAAACUUGGCUUGCUGCCAUGGGUGGUCGUCAUCCCGUUUCCAUAUUUACUGACAGGGAUAAGGCCAUGGAAGGAGCUAUCUCAAGGAUAUUUCCGAAAACUCGCCAUUGUUUCUGCAAAUGGCACAUAUUAAGCAGAUGCAAACAUAAACUUUGUGAUUCAUAUAUAAAAUAUCCUAUGUUAAGAACCGAGUUAAAGGAGUGCAUCAAUGCCUCAGAAACAAUCGAGGAGUUUGAAACUCGUUGGGAGUACAUCCUCGAUAAAUAUAACCUGUGGGAUAAUGCAUGGCUGCAAUCGCUUUAUGAAAUUCGUCAUCGUUGGGCUUCAGUGUACCAGAAGGACUUGCUCUUUCCUGAAUUGUCAUCAUCGCAAAGACCAGAAAGUUUGAAUAAAUUCUUCAAGCGAAACUUCAAUACUAAAACCUCUUUACUGCUGUUUAUCUCAAAAUUUGAUCAAGCUAUGUCAUCUCAGUACGAGAAGGAAGCCCAGGAAGACCUCGCUACCAUAUACGUUAAGCCUCCUUUGAAGACACCAUCACCAAUCGAAAGACAGGCAGCGGAUAUCUACACAAAUGCUGUAUUCGAGAAGUUUCAGGAGGAAUUCGUCGAAUCAUUAGGGUAUUACGUCGAGAAAAUCGAGCACGGCUCUGUUAGCAAGUAUAAUGUGAUGAAGGAAGAUGAUAAUCGUAAGAGCUACAUCGUUAGUUUCAGUGAUUAUGAUAAAAUGACGAGUUGUAAUUGCUGCAAGUUUGAGCGUUGCGGCAUUCUAUGCAGGCAUAUUUUACGAGUUUUUUUCGUCGUUGGAGUGCGUGUUCUCCCUGAGGCCUAUGUUCUGAAGAGAUGGACAAGGAAUGCCCUGAAAAAUAUAGUUCUUGAAGAAAGAGUUACAGAACCUGGGCUUAGUUUCCAGGAGUAUUUAGUAGCUUGGUACAAUGAUCUUUGUCUUGAUGCUAUUAAAUUUGGAAUGGAAGGGGCUGUAUCCUCGGAGACAUAUAAGGUUGCUAAAUUAGCACUGCAGAAGUCUUUUAAUGAAGUUAUUGCUGCUAAGAACACUCAGAAGAAAGGGCAGCAGAAUCUGCAGAGAUUUGCGAGGUUACAGAAGAUGCAAUAUAAGGUUCCGUUGCCGAAGCUACAACCGAAGAAGGCCUUUGCCCCAAGGGUUACUCAACACAACGAAGAAGAUGGAAGCGGAAGAAAUGCAAAAGACAAUGCAUUAAGUUGUGGAAGAUGAGCAACAUCAGAUUUUCAAUUACCAAAAACAAAUCGACGAUAAUAAAGAAGAAGAAGAAGCAGUAACUGACAACGAACUGGCGGGGACACUCGAGGACAUGGACGGAAAGUCGGAAAGCUUAUCAUUCAUGGAAGAGGACGGCGAAGAAGAAGUUGGGGAGAUGGUAGAGUACACUGGUCCUGAAUCCAAACAGAAGAGUGUCUGUAAUGCAUUUAGAUUGAGGAAUUUGCUGAGGUCUGUUGGCUUGGCUGCUGCCACUUUCAGCAUCUUCAUAUUGCAGAAAUCAAUCCCCAAAAAUCAGAAAAUCGAGUUCAAAAUCUGCAAAAAUGAGAAAGCUAAGCAGCUGCUUCAGCAUCAGCAAGAAGUUUCAGAACCGUUGGCAGCUAAAGCUCGCUGUUUAUUUGGUGGGCGUUAUGAUGAGUGGUACUAAUGCAUCUGAUUGGGUCUCUAAAUAAGUAAUUUGAAUCCCAUUUUAAUUUGAGAGAUCAAAAUUAUGAAACUCAAGUGUAUGGUGAAUAAUAAAUGUUAGGUUUCAAUGGGAAUGUGGAAAUUAAAUGCAUUUAAU
Molecule: RNA transcript, 2368 nt
Organism: Phalaenopsis equestris
Lineage: Eukaryota; Viridiplantae; Streptophyta; Magnoliopsida; Asparagales; Orchidaceae
Gene name: protein FAR1-RELATED SEQUENCE 3-like
Exons: 3
Source: RefSeq, a predicted model, not a curated record